GUGCUUGUAGUAUUGUGAAUUGCCCACAGUUUGUGGUAUUAUGUAAUCUAAGCUGUAUAUCUGGUUGACUGAAUGUUUUCUGGACGCGGGUUCGACUCCCGCCGUCUCCACCAACAGCGUAUUUGUGUUAGUGCAUUUGCUGCGAUAUCCGCAAGGCCGGUUCAAGUAUGCUGCUGAUGGGGACGCCAUGGUUUCGACAGGAAAAGAUAGGAAGAUCGGCAGCCGGUAGGCGAUGACCGUAAAUCAAGCAAAACCUUUAAAUGCAAAUGACGAAAGUUACGCAUUAGCAGCCUAAUACUGGCUAGCUAGGAGCUUUAUCCACUUGGCAACAGAACGGAUAAAAAAGGGAGCUUCGGCUCCCUUUUUCA
This 368-nucleotide transfer-messenger RNA is filed under the name Advenella kashmirensis. It matches the Rfam family "Betaproteobacteria transfer-messenger RNA". Rfam says of the family: Bacterial tmRNA, also known as 10Sa RNA or SsrA, is named for its dual tRNA and mRNA-like properties. Its role is to liberate the mRNA from a stalled ribosome. Lineage: Bacteria; Pseudomonadati; Pseudomonadota; Betaproteobacteria; Burkholderiales; Alcaligenaceae. The record is from RNAcentral. RNAcentral also lists the same sequence under 1 other name.